Perca fluviatilis (European perch) is the source of this 1273-nucleotide long non-coding RNA. RefSeq lists it as uncharacterized. The transcript is spliced from 3 exons. The record is from RefSeq and is a predicted model, not a curated record. Lineage: Eukaryota; Metazoa; Chordata; Actinopteri; Perciformes; Percidae.
AGAUGGUGGGUGCUUUCCCAAGUAAAUCAGAAAGAGGUCCAAAGCAAUGAAACAGCCAAAUAUGCAUACCUACAGCACAACAUUUUAAAGUUUAUUCUUUCAGCUGACAGAGAGAAGAAGAAGAGGAAGAGGAGGAGGAGGAGGAGGAGACAGACACAAAUAGAGAAAGAGAUCGAGAGUAGCAGAUGAGGGCCUGGGGAAAAAAAAAAAAAAAAAAAAAAAAACUAUCAGCUAAAUGAGGGCACAGAUAGAAAGGCAACCUUUGACCACCAGCUGUCUGGAAGUCACCGCCCAGCCGCAUUUGUCAGUCUGCGUCCCCAGAUGAACCCGACCCAAGGGUCAAUGGCUCCCAGCACAGCCGCGUUUGUUUCCGUGUGUGCACACUGCCGUGGUGUCUUCCAAGUGUUUGUAUGCGCGCCCAUGCGCACGGCUCGAGCUAUCUGUGUCACAGCUGGCUUUAUCUCUCGGGCAGAUAAGGCACCCAAAUAAAUGGACAGAGCAGCGAGAAGAACGGUGCGUGGCUGAGAGGGAGAGAUAGAAGAGACAGAGACAUCACGUGGAUGAUCCUGGACCGCAACCAGACACAAAGACCUGGAGGCAGCUGUCGAAAGAACUACCAAAACAUACCAAUGAAUUCCCCUCUCAAACCUCCCUGGAGAGAGAUUUCAAGUAAAUACCAGCAAACAAGCAAUUAUUUCUGGCAGCCUGGGCCCUUCGCUCUUCCAAAAGACAUGGAGCAGAGGGAGAGGGGGUGGAUGAAAUCACCCUAACAGAUGUGAUUUAAAUCAAUAUUGCAUUAUAUGUGCCUUUAUUUAUUUAUUUAUUUAAAAUAAAAAAAAUAAAGUAACACAGGGAACCAAACCAAUGAAGGGCCCUGUGAUGACUGCUGCCCUUCGCUUGACGGAAUAAUUGCUUUCAAUACGUCAGGGUUUUUCAUUUUUUAAUUUCCUUUUACCCCCUGCCUGUCCUUCUUCUGUGUUCCUCCAGGUCUGAGCAAUCCCCCCGAUGUUAAAAUAAUAUAAAAAAAAAAAAAAGAAGGAAAAAAAAAUUCAUCCGAGCUGUCAAACGUAGAGUUUUAACACAAACCAUCUGGUGGAACGAUGGAGGUAAACAGGCGUAAACAGAACCGGACUGGGAGGAAGAGGAGGGGGCGGGGGGAGAGGGAGGCAGCUGAGGGAGGAGAAGAGAAGCAGAGAUCCUGAGAGAGGGGAGAUGGGGUGAGAUAAGCCGAAUGUUACGGAGGAGGAGUUGGAGUAAUAAGAGACGGAGCUGG